RNAcentral lists this long non-coding RNA (510 nucleotides) under Astyanax mexicanus (Mexican tetra). RNAcentral's name for it is "lncRNA (ENSAMXG00005020983.1)". The record is from RNAcentral. Lineage: Eukaryota; Metazoa; Chordata; Actinopteri; Characiformes; Acestrorhamphidae.
CCUGAUGUUAGAGGUUUGGAUGAGUGGAUUUGAGAAUGGCUGCAGUGUGUGUUUUUCUACUCAAGUGUCCUCUCGACCGGACGCCGCCCGAGGACACAGAGGAGGAGUGUGACUGUGGUGACGGAAUUCCUGGACCACCCGGACCACCAGGACCAGCUGGUCCACCCGGACCUCCUGGGCUGAAGGGGGAGAUAGGACAGGAUGGACUCCCAGGCCCUGACGGUAAGCCUGGCAUGAAAGGUGAGCAAGGAGUGACGGGGGAGCCAGGUAAAUCAGGGGAGAAGGUGAGAUUUCUAGACCAUGACUUUUUUUUACUUUUUUUUCUCUUGUUAAUUUAAGAUGUGUGGAUGAGUGUGCUUCGCACUAAAUCGUUAUAUUAUAUUCUUUAUCAUCCAAACAGGGGGAAUCUGGUUUACUUGGACCCAAGGGUGAUGCAGGAAUAAGGGGCUACAAGGUAGGUCAAAACUAGAUGGGGUAUAGGCACUCAGUAUAGUAGAUUUUAGUGUUAAA